CCCUUAGAUGUUCUGGGCCGCGCGCGCGCUACACUGACGAAUGCAACGAGCUUAUAACCUUGGCCGAAAGGUCUGGGUAAUCUCCAAAUUUCGUCGUGAUGGGGAUAGAUUAUUGCAAUUAUUAAUCUUCAACGAGGAAUGCCUAGUAAGCGCAAGUCAUCAGCUUGCGUUGAUUACGUCCCUGCCCUUUGUACACACCGCCCGUCGCUCCUACCGAUUGAAUGGUCCGGUGAAGCGUUCGGACCGUGGCCUUUGGACGGUUCGCCGUCUGUUGGCUGCGGGAAGUUCGUUAAACCUUAUCAUUUAGAGGAAGGAGAAGUCGUANCA
RNAcentral lists this ribosomal RNA (327 nucleotides) under uncultured eukaryote. RNAcentral's name for it is "partial 18S ribosomal RNA". It matches the Rfam family "Eukaryotic small subunit ribosomal RNA", at positions 1470 to 1796 of the family's 1831-position model. The record is from RNAcentral.